UUGGUUUUUUUCUUAAUCAACCAUAGUUAUUUCUCUACUUACAAAUCUGGAAGAAAAAAAUAGAGUCGAACUUUUUGAAAAUGUUUGACAAUACAAUGAAUGGAAUAGAAUAGAAAUGUUUGUAUAUGCUCCUAUUCCAACAAUAUUGCAGUGGAUCAAAGUAAUUUUGGAUCUCUUUCUAGAAUUUCCUUGAAGACUAUAAGAUACAUUUUAUUUAAAUACUAUGCUCUCCUAUUCCCCCUUUGCCUCACGACCUCCUGGAAGGUAAGGGCCAUGUUUAUUUCUUUAUAGCACCAACAUCUACUUCUCUACCAGAAACCUAGUAAGUUGGUAUUAAAGGUAUUUUAUAAGAAGUGUUCUCAGUGUGAAUAACAAUCACUAUCCAGAAGUCUCCAGAUUCUGUACCCUUUGAUUAGUACCUGGUUUUUAAAAUGUCUCCUUGCUAACCAUUAUCUCAAGGUAAGUAGAAACUAGUCAUUUUCCUCAAAAUUUUAAGACCAGCAAGUGAUUCAAGUGUCAGCUUAGAAGGUUUAUGUGCUGUUUUUCACCUUACCCAAAGGGUGUGGUGGGAGGCAGUGAAAGUCAAUAGCUUGGUUUGACCUAGUCUAGACCAGUGGAUUGAUCUGGACUUCCUGGAUGGCCUCAACACCCUGCAGUUUCUAGUCCCGGUUAACUUUGUACAGUAGUGUUUUUAUUUGGAUAGAUGGGCAGUUCUGGCUGAUUUAGAGGGCACACCUAGGAUUACUCAACAGUGAGCCCAGUAUUUGUACACAUGAAGCUUAAAAAGACACUUUGCAAAAAGAAUCAUUUUAAGCCAGUCCAGGCCAUCAUGUGCCACCGUGUAGAGCAUUCAACCUGGCUCAUAAGCAUAUGGCUCCUGGUCUUUAAAGGUUCAUUUUUGCAUUUUAAAUACCUGCAAGGAUUUAUCUUGACGUUUUCAAAACUCCCCACCUUGUCCCAGAUCACAUUUCCACUGAAUCCUGUGUUCUCUGUGCCUCCACACUAUAUCUUAGCUACCCCUCCAGCUCUUACAGAGCAACUUCCAUUCACGGAACCUCCUGCAGAAGGCUCACCCAGGAAACUGGGACUAUUUCUCCAACAAAAUCUUACUCAUCCGGUGCUUUUUCUGUGAGGAGUACACCGUAGAUUAGUUCCUUUCUCUCACAUCAUGGAUCUGAGUUGUGGUUAAAUUCUGUUCUUCAGAUGGACCUCUUUUUCUAAGUCUGAAUUUGCAUAUAGGUUUACCUUCCAUCACAAGCACUGCUCCUGGGUUCUUCCCACAUAUCCUUUUGCUCCUUGUCCUACCCCCCAGAAUGCCAUAUCUUAUUACAAGUUGUUGUGCUUAUAGGAAUAGAGAAUAUUACACCAUGCUGAGAUGUGGAGGCUGGGGAGUGGCCGAGCCUACUAGCUAAUGACCUGAACAUAGCAGCACUGGGCCUACAUUUGAGCUGCAGUAAAAUGCCAAGACCUCACACAUUGGACCUUCAGUGUUCCUCAGGUUCAGUACUUUCUUGAUAUCAGAGCAAAGGAGUUGUUAGUCCAUGAAAUUUCAUUGUGAUGUUAAUCACCAGAGAAAGGUGUACUUAACAAUAUACAGUGUGCUCUAUUCCAAGCACUGAGGGAAGAAUCCUUACUUGAAAGAGGACAACUGAAUUAUCAGGUAAGAGAGUCAAGAAGCUGCCUCGAAAAAUGAUCACCUUUUGCUGUACAUUCCAACCCCGAAACACCAUAAAAAUAUCAACAUGCCUGUCUCAGUCCACAGAACCUGGCUCAUGAGUCUUUGGUGCCUACCAGGACUUAAAACAAGAUGCCACUCCCAGCCGGAUUCCCAGAUAAAAACUAAACUGGAGGUGGCAAUCAUAGAUUUAUAAUCAACAGCAUCUCAAAAAUGAGCCAUGGGUAAAGAGGACUAUCUUCUGGAAAAUAUGGCCACAACGCACACAGAUCAAGGCUUUAGAAUGUGUAUUUAUUUCCCUCCUAAAAAGUGGAAAGAAUCUACUCAAUCAUACCAGUAGCAAUAAAAAAUAAAAAGGAAUGUUCAAAUUAACAGCCAUUUUUUUCACCACUUGACAAAAAAUAUUAAAACACUAGGGUCCCAAGGGAAUAAGGCAUUUGCGCAAAUCAGCUAACUUAUGCAACUUAAAAGCCAACAGGCAUAGCUUCAUGGUUCUAAUAUCUUUUUAAAGCUCUCCUAAGAGGACCUCUACUCCAGUGAGCCCCACAAGCGCAAAAACUUCUCUUGCCUCUCUAAAAGGAUUUGGGAUGUGCCAGGUUUCUGGGAUGGUGAUUGGUCGUUUGUAUAUAACUGUCUCAACCAGAAUUACUCUUCCUCAUUCAUUCACGGAUAGACAUCAUUUCUCCUUUGUCAGGCCCUGUGCUUGGCAUAAGGGAGAGUAGAAACAGGAGAUGAAUAUACUGGAGUUUAUGCAAUACAUAAAUGAAUGAGGCAAGAGCUGAAAUAGGAGGUGAAUGCAGUUCAU
Long non-coding RNA from Canis lupus familiaris (dog), 2480 nucleotides. RefSeq lists it as uncharacterized. The record is from RefSeq and is a predicted model, not a curated record. Lineage: Eukaryota; Metazoa; Chordata; Mammalia; Carnivora; Canidae. The transcript has 4 exons.